CCUACGGGAGGCAGCAGUGGGGAAUAUUGGGCAAUGGGCGCAAGCCUGACCCAGCAACGCCGCGUGAAGGAAGACGGCUUUCGGGUUGUAAACUUCUUUUCUCAGGGACGAAGCAAGUGACGGUACCUGAGGAAUAAGCCACGGCUAACUACGUGCCAGCAGCCGCGGUAAUCCGUAGGUGGCAAGCGUUAUCCGGAUUUACUGGGUGUAAAGGGCGUGUAGGCGGGAAAGCAAGUCAGAUGUGAAAACCAUGGGCUCAACCUGUGGCCUGCAUUUGAAACUGUUUUUCUUGAGUACUGGAGAGGCAGACGGAAUUCGUAGUGUAGCGGUGAAAUGCGUAGAUAUUAGGAAGAACACCAGUGGCGAAGGCAGUCUGCUGGACAGCAACUGACGCUGAGGCGCGAAAGCGUGGGGAGCAAACAGGAUUAGAUACCCCGGUAGUC
Molecule: ribosomal RNA, 443 nt
Filed under: uncultured bacterium
Lineage: Bacteria
Description: partial 16S ribosomal RNA
Rfam family: Bacterial small subunit ribosomal RNA
Source: RNAcentral